UUUAAGUUUGACCCUUUAGUCAAUGUUGGUGACGCUUGUUCCUUUUUCUGACGCUUUGUCCAAAACAACUUGAAUUCAGAUAAAUGUCGUUACGGAGCAGACAGGGGUCAGGGCGCAUUGGUUGUCGAAUGUACUUUUCGUCAACUACAAGUCAACCACACACUUACCGUGCGUUCACGCCAAAAA
Gadus macrocephalus (Pacific cod) is the source of this 186-nucleotide long non-coding RNA. RefSeq lists it as uncharacterized. The transcript has 2 exons. Lineage: Eukaryota; Metazoa; Chordata; Actinopteri; Gadiformes; Gadidae. The record is from RefSeq and is a predicted model, not a curated record.